CAACUCUAAACUACUCUCUAAUAAAUGCUCUAGGUUUCGGUUGAUGUGACGCAAUAAUGUGUUCGUCCUUGAGACGCAGUUUUCGAUGUAAUAAAUUUACGAUGACGUGGCCACCUCCUAUUCAAAACUGCAAUGCACUUCCGUCUGUCUGAUCCAUGUGCUGUGUCAUCAAGGGUAGACUGAAUUACUAAAAUCGACUAAAUAAUUCAGUCGGAACUAGAAUUGAAUACUGCUGGAUUGUCGUCGCUAAAUUAAUAAUAAUUAGACCACUCUGUACUCUGUAGUGAUCCAUACACGGAUGGGCAACCUAGUCUGGAGCUUGUGCUUGUGUGGGUGUAGUUGCUAGAAUAAUAAUAACAACGAGACGAAGGACAGAACCAGUCACCAUGUCCGUCACGGCAUUUCACUGCUCUGCUGUGUUCUAUCCUGUCAAAAGGUGAGUUAUUUGUCAGUUGAAUAUUGAUGACCUGAAAUUACAUAUACAGAAGCCCAAUUUGGUAAGCUGAUGACUUUAUCAAAAUACGUCUUGGAACGUGAGUCUGGUUUGUAUGUUUGUGAUUUUUAUCACUAUCAUCUCGAUUUUUCCAAUUUAAUUAAACUUCAAUAAUUAUGAAAAACAAAACUAAAAUGUAUAUGCAUUCUAGUAAUAAAUUGUGAAUUCUUAUCUAAAUUUUAAAAUUAAUAAGGAACGUGACCUAUUUGUCAUUUAAUUCGAGAAAACUUCAAUUUAGGAUGAAGUAGUUGAUACUACAAAAAAAUCUCAAUCCAAGAACUCCCCUGCAAAUUUUCAAUUUUAUUCUCCACUGUUAAUUUUCUAUGUAUUAUUUUUCUUGUUUUGAAUUCUAUCUCGACCAGUUAUAGUAAAACUAUCAACAGUGACUGAUGUUUUCGGUUUGGUAUCGUUUCCCCUCGCGAAGCCAUACUCAUGUUUUAGGGUCUGCGAGGCGAGAUAACUUUGAAAAAGGAGUGUUGGAUUUCAAGUGAAGAUUAGGCUAAAGUUUUGUACAGCAGUUGCAUGCUUCUUUUCAAACUCCUCAACUCAUUGAAUCUAUUCAAUUUUGAGAAUAUUCCUUCAUGUUCUAUGUCAAUUAUCAUCUUUGUUUUUUAUGAAUUAUCAUCUUGCCCUUGGAAAAUUAUUAACUUUCAUGCUAUUUAAAAAACGAGUAAGUACCA
Long non-coding RNA from Nilaparvata lugens (brown planthopper), 1173 nucleotides. RefSeq lists it as uncharacterized. The record is from RefSeq and is a predicted model, not a curated record. The transcript has 3 exons. Lineage: Eukaryota; Metazoa; Arthropoda; Insecta; Hemiptera; Delphacidae.